RNAcentral lists this ribosomal RNA (484 nucleotides) under uncultured bacterium. Its description in RNAcentral is "partial 16S ribosomal RNA". It matches the Rfam family "Bacterial small subunit ribosomal RNA", at positions 30 to 507 of the family's 1533-position model. The record is from RNAcentral.
AUUGAACGCUGGCGGCAGGCCUAACACAUGCAAGUCGAGCGGAUGAAGGGAGCUUGCUCCUGGAUUCAGCGGCGGACGGGUGAGUAAUGCCUAGGAAUCUGCCUGGUAGUGGGGGAUAACGCCCGGAAACGGGCGCUAAUACCGCAUACGUCCUGAGGGAGAAAGUGGGGGAUCUUCGGACCUCACGCUAUCAGAUGAGCCUAGGUCGGAUUAGCUAGUUGGUGGGGUAAAGGCCUACCAAGGCGACGAUCCGUAACUGGUAUGAGAGGAUGAUCAGUCACACUGGAACUGAGACACGGUCCAGACUCCUACGGGAGGCAGCAGUGGGGAAUAUUGGACAAUGGGCGAAAGCCUGAUCCAGCCAUGCCGCGUGUGUGAAGAAGGUCUUCGGAUUGUAAAGCACUUUAAGUUGGGAGGAAGGGCAGUAAGUUAAUACCUUGCUGUUUUGACGUUACCAACAGAAUAAGCACCGGCUAACUUCGUG